GACAAACCGGAGGAAGGUGGGGAUGACGUCAAAUCAUCAUGCCCCUUAUGAUUUGGGCUACACACGUGCUACAAUGGACAAUACAAAGGGCAGCUAAACCGCGAGGUCAUGCAAAUCCCAUAAAGUUGUUCUCAGUUCGGAUUGUAGUCUGCAACUUGACUACAUGAAGCUGGAAUCGCUAGUAAUUGUAGAUCAGCAUGCUACGGUGAAUACGUUCCCGGGUCUUGUACACACCGCCCGUCACACCACGAGAGUUUGUAACACCCGAAGCCGGUGGAGUAACCAUUUAUGGAGCUAGCCGUCGAAGGUGGGACAAAUGAUUGGGGUGAAG
Molecule: ribosomal RNA, 331 nt
Filed under: Staphylococcus saprophyticus
Lineage: Bacteria; Bacillati; Bacillota; Bacilli; Caryophanales; Staphylococcaceae
Description: bacterial SSU rRNA
Rfam family: Bacterial small subunit ribosomal RNA
Source: RNAcentral